GCCGGGUUGGCGAAAUGGUAUACGCGGGAGACUUAAAAUCUCUUGUUCUUAGAACAUAAGGGUUCAAAUCCCUUACCCGGCA
This 82-nucleotide transfer RNA is filed under the name Thioploca sp. RNAcentral's name for it is "tRNA-Leu". It matches the Rfam family "tRNA". Rfam says of the family: Transfer RNA (tRNA) molecules are approximately 80 nucleotides in length. The record is from RNAcentral. Lineage: Bacteria; Pseudomonadati; Pseudomonadota; Gammaproteobacteria; Thiotrichales; Thiotrichaceae.